AAAAAUGAAAUGCAAUGACUGGUCUGAAAAUGUGUUUUUUAUACGUAUGUAAAUAUAUACAUAUUACUUCUUAAAAAAAUUUUAAUUAAACUAUUUUGUAACCUUCUAAAUUUUGACUUUCGUCCAACUGGCAUUGUGUCAUACUAUUCAAUUACGUUUUCACAUUCGUUACCUAUUUUGUAGAAAUUAUAUCCAGAAAAUAAAUUUUUACUCUUUUACUUCAAUGCUAGUUUAUAUUUUGCGGGUUCAUUUCUAUAAUUACUAGAUAGACAGACAUCCAGACAGACAUUAUAUCGUAUUCAACGAUGCAUUCUGAUUGUGUUUAAGUACGUAUGAGAACUCUGAAUUGCGACACGUGAUAUUGGGUUGGAUGUUGAAUGGCAUGUACACUGGAAUAUUGGAGUAAUUCUGUGGGGGCUGUUGCUUAUGGUAACUGAUCACCAUUUCUGUUUAUUAUGGGCAAUAUGACAGUUACGCAUCAUUUUAAUGAUGCCUAUAAAUCACUUGCUUGGAAUAAUGUAUCGAUAGAUGAAAAUAUUGAUUACCUAUUUUUAUUAUUAUUAAUUUUUUUCUGACAUGUUAAUAAAAGAUCUUCGAAUAAAAUGGAAUAUGGACUACGGUAGCUAGGUAAUUUAAUCGAAACGUUAAAUGGUUAAAUGUGUUUAUAUUUUUCGCUGAAAUAUUUGUUUGAUGUCCUUAGAAUCGGAUUUUGUAAGAGUUAGUUCAAACAUAUGAUUUCGUUGCAUAGGCAAUUUAAAAAAUAAUUUUAGAGUUCCCCUCACGUUGCGAAUAGCCUAUAGUUGCUUGAAUAACGAAACAUAGGGUUAAUGGUUAAUAUAUUGAUGACCGCAGUGCUCUGGGCUUUCAUUUGAAAAUCUACAUUCAACAAUAUAUAAUUGGUUUAUUAUAUGUAAAUAAUAUCAGUUUUAUUUUGUGUAUAAUAUGUAUUUACAAUUCGUUGAAUUAUGGGUAGGGUAAAAUACUAUAAUCAUUUUGUGAGUUAAUCAUGUACAUGAAAUAUAACAAAAUAUUCAAACAUCAAAUAGGUUUAUUUUCGAAUUGUAUAUAUCUAUAUUCAUUAGCGUACUAAACAUUAGAAUACGUUAUAAAACGAUUCAUCUCAUUUAUUUAAUGGAUUAUUACUGUUUUGUAAAUAAAAAUAAGAUAUGAAGGGCCAUGGAAUAUGGAAAUCACCAAUUAUCUCAAAAACAAUUAUUUCGGCUUACAUCAUCAUCGCUGCGAACAGUAGAGAAUUGAGAUCCUGCUCGCCCUGUUCGAGUUUAAAACUUAUACGUGGAUAGGUCAUCGCAAAAAACGUUGUAGCCAAUGUUGCAGUUGUAAGUGCAAAUCUGCGAAGCAACCUUUGAGCAGAAGGUGUCAAUCUGAGUAACAAACAUUUAUUAAUUAUUAGUUAGCCUAUUUUUCUUGCCACUGUAACUUAUACUCCUGUCGAUAACUAAAAUUGAAGUCGAUAUUGGGAAAGUGAUUGGUAUGACAAGAACUAUGCAAAUUGAGAAUGUAAAGCGUCCACUGAAAUGCUAUGAUUGUACGGCUGAUGUUAAGUAUCUCAAGAGGUAAUUCAAUUAUCACUUGUUAGAUACAUAUUAAUCAUGGUCAGCUUACGCUAGACGGGUCAAAUGUGCUUUUUGUAAAUAUUUUGUGCUGUUUCCGUUGACAUUUUUCUUCGGGUAAUGUUAAACAGGAUUCAUUUGAUGAAUCGAAUAAGAAUACAAAGGUUUUUACACUUUCACAACUUUUCACCGCUAAAACUAUCGGGAGUUCAUUUAGUUCAUAAUAAGGAAUCCAAUGAAUAGUUAAGGAGGACUAAUAGUGAAGAAAGCAUAUAUGGAUUAACAAUGCUGCAUAUUCGUUAGUAUGUACUUGUAAACAAGGAGCAAUUAUUAGAAGAUGUGCAAACAAGUGGCCUGAACUAAUAACCAAAUACUGUUUUUUGGAAAAUACGAUAUACUUCUUUUUUUGUUAUAUAUUUUUUUCCAGAUACGGAAAAUUUUUCUUAGGACAUAUGUUCUUCAAGAAGAUAUUGUAAUUCGGAGAACUGUUAAGUGCUUCCCUUCGGUUUUGAGCAGGAUACGCCUUUAACCUAAUGAUAAAAUUUUAAUAUGAAUAGGGAUUUUUAAUCUCUGUUCGACUACCGAUAAUAAUUAAAGGAAUAUCGACAUCAAAAGUGGACACAUAUGAUUAUAGUAUUUCAAAUUUAGGCGAUACAUUCUAAAUCUAAAGUGAUUCUGAUUUAACUAAUACUGUAAUAUAAGGCUCUAAAAUUCAUCGUAGCUGGCAACGUGGAUAUAUUGGAAAAUUCAAUAAUUUCAUUUACUAAUGUAAAUGCAAAGUUAAAAUGUGAAUUCAUAAAGCCGUGAAUUUAUAAAUAUCUUCUCGUAAAGCUAAUUUUGUUAAUUAUUGUGUUAAUUAUAGUGAUGAAAUAAACCUAUGCUUAUUGUUGUAUUUAUCAAUAAUAGACCGUGCCUUUAGUCUAA
Diorhabda carinulata is the source of this 2495-nucleotide long non-coding RNA. RefSeq lists it as uncharacterized. The record is from RefSeq and is a predicted model, not a curated record. The transcript is spliced from 2 exons. NCBI's taxonomy places the organism in Eukaryota, Metazoa, Arthropoda, Insecta, Coleoptera, Chrysomelidae.